This 253-nucleotide ribosomal RNA is filed under the name uncultured bacterium. Its description in RNAcentral is "partial 16S ribosomal RNA". It matches the Rfam family "Bacterial small subunit ribosomal RNA", at positions 524 to 776 of the family's 1533-position model. The record is from RNAcentral.
UACGAAGGGGGCGAGCGUUGUUCGGAUUUACUGGGCGUAAAGGGCGCGCAGGCGGUUCUGUUUGUCGAGUGUGAAAGCCCCGGGCUCAACCUGGGAACUGCAUUUGGGACUGCAAGGCUGGAGUACGGCAGAGGGAGGUGGAAUUCCACGUGUAGCAGUGAAAUGCGUAGAGAUGUGGAGGAACACCGAUGGCGAAGGCAGCCUCCUGGGCUAGUACUGACGCUCAUGCACGAAAGCGUGGGGAGCAAACAGG